AGCAGUCGCCGCGGUAAUACCGAGGAUGCAAGCGUUAUCCGGAAUGAUUGGGCGUAAAGCGUCUGUAGGUGGCUUUUCAAGUCUGAUGUGAAAGCCCCCGGCUCAACCGGGGAGGGUCAUUGGAAACUGGGAAACUUGAGUGCAGAAGAGGAGAGUGGAAUUCCACGUGUAGCGGUGAAAUGCGUAGAGAUGUGGAGGAACACCAGUGGCGAAGGCGACUCUCUGGUCUGUAACUGACGCUGAGGAGCGAAAGCGUGGGGAGCGAACAGGAUUAGAUACCCGUGUAGUCCCUGUCUCUUAUAU
Molecule: ribosomal RNA, 303 nt
Filed under: uncultured bacterium
Lineage: Bacteria
Description: partial 16S ribosomal RNA
Rfam family: Bacterial small subunit ribosomal RNA
Source: RNAcentral